UUAAGCGAACAAGCGUACACGGUGGAUGCCCUGGCAGUCAGAGGCGAUGAAGGACGUGCUAAUCUGCGAAAAGCGCCGGUAAGGUGAUAUGAACCGUUAUAACCGGCGAUGUCCGAAUGGGGAAACCCGGUGCACUUCGGUGCAUCAUCGUUAGCUGAAUACAUAGGCUAACGAGGCGAACCGGGGGAACUGAAACAUCUAAGUACCCCGAGGAAAAGAAAUCAACCGAGAUUCCCCCAGUAGCGGCGAGCGAACGGGGAACAGCCCAGAGCCUGAAUCAGCUUGUGUGUCAGUGGAACGGUCUGGAAAGGCCGGCGAUACAGGGUGACAGCCCCGUACACGAAGGCACACAGGCUGUGAGCUCGAUGAGUAGGGCGGGACACGUGAUAUCCUGUCUGAAGAUGGGGGGACCAUCCUCCAAGGCUAAAUACUCCUGACUGACCGAUAGUGAACCAGUACCGUGAGGGAAAGGCGAAAAGAACCCCGGCGAGGGGAGUGAAACAGAACCUGAAACCGUGUACGUACAAGCAGUGGGAGCCUUCGUAAGAGGGUGACUGCGUACCUUUUGUAUAAUGGGUCAGCGACUUAUAUUCUGUAGCAAGGUUAACCGUAUAGGGGAGCCGAAGGGAAACCGAGUCUUAACCGGGCGUUAAGUUGCAGGGUAUAGACCCGAAACCCGGUGAUCUAGCCAUGGGCAGGUUGAAGGUUGGGUAACACUAACUGGAGGACCGAACCGACUAAUGUUGAAAAAUUAGCGGAUGACCUGUGGCUGGGGGUGAAAGGCCAAUCAAACCGGGAGAUAGCUGGUUCUCCCCGAAAGCUAUUUAGGUAGCGCCUCGUGAACUCAUCUCCGGGGGUAGAGCACUGUUUCGGCUAGGGGGCCAUCCCGGCUUACCAACCCGAUGCAAACUGCGAAUACCGGAGAAUGUUAUCACGGGAGACACACGGCGGGUGCUAACGUCCGUCGUGAAGAGGGAAACAACCCAGACCGCCAGCUAAGGUCCCAAAGUCAUGGUUAAGUGGGAAACGAUGUGGGAAGGCCCAGACAGCCAGGAUGUUGGCUUAGAAGCAGCCAUCAUUUAAAGAAAGCGUAAUAGCUCACUGGUCGAGUCGGCCUGCGCGGAAGAUGUAACGGGGCUAAACCAUGCACCGAAGCUGCGGCAGCGACGCUUAUGCGUUGUUGGGUAGGGGAGCGUUCUGUAAGCCUGCGAAGGUGUGCUGUGAGGCAUGCUGGAGGUAUCAGAAGUGCGAAUGCUGACAUAAGUAACGAUAAAGCGGGUGAAAAGCCCGCUCGCCGGAAGACCAAGGGUUCCUGUCCAACGUUAAUCGGGGCAGGGUGAGUCGACCCCUAAGGCGAGGCCGAAAGGCGUAGUCGAUGGGAAACAGGUUAAUAUUCCUGUACUUGGUGUUACUGCGAAGGGGGGACGGAGAAGGCUAUGUCGGCCGGGCGACGGUUGUCCCGGUUUAAGCGUGUAGGCUGACUUUCCAGGCAAAUCCGGAAAGUUAAGGCUGAGGCGUGAUGACGAGGCACCACGGUGCUGAAGUGACAAAUGCCCUGCUUCCAGGAAAAGCCUCUAAGCAUCAGGUAACAUCAAAUCGUACCCCAAACCGACACAGGUGGUCAGGUAGAGAAUACCAAGGCGCUUGAGAGAACUCGGGUGAAGGAACUAGGCAAAAUGGUGCCGUAACUUCGGGAGAAGGCACGCUGACAUGUAGGUGAAGCCCCUGCGGGUGGAGCUGAAGUCAGUCGAAGAUACCAGCUGGCUGCAACUGUUUAUUAAAAACACAGCACUGUGCAAACACGAAAGUGGACGUAUACGGUGUGACGCCUGCCCGGUGCCGGAAGGUUAAUUGAUGGGGUUAUCGCAAGAGAAGCUCCUGAUCGAAGCCCCGGUAAACGGCGGCCGUAACUAUAACGGUCCUAAGGUAGCGAAAUUCCUUGUCGGGUAAGUUCCGACCUGCACGAAUGGCGUAAUGAUGGCCAGGCUGUCUCCACCCGAGACUCAGUGAAAUUGAACUCGCUGUGAAGAUGCAGUGUACCCGCGGCAAGACGGAAAGACCCCGUGAACCUUUACUACAGCUUGACACUGAACAUUGAGCCUUGAUGUGUAGGAUAGGUGGGAGGCUUUGAAGCGUGGACGCCAGUCUGCGUGGAGCCGACCUUGAAAUACCACCCUUUAAUGUUUGAUGUUCUAACCUGGCGCCAUAAUCUGGCGUGGGGACAGUGUCUGGUGGGUAGUUUGACUGGGGCGGUCUCCUCCCAAAGUGUAACGGAGGAGCACGAAGGUCAGCUAAUCCUGGUCGGACAUCAGGAGGUUAGUGCAAUGGCAUAAGCUGGCUUGACUGCGAGAGUGACGGCUCGAGCAGGUGCGAAAGCAGGUCAUAGUGAUCCGGUGGUUCUGUAUGGAAGGGCCAUCGCUCAACGGAUAAAAGGUACUCCGGGGAUAACAGGCUGAUACCGCCCAAGAGUUCAUAUCGACGGCGGUGUUUGGCACCUCGAUGUCGGCUCAUCACAUCCUGGGGCUGAAGUAGGUCCCAAGGGUAUGGCUGUUCGCCAUUUAAAGUGGUACGCGAGCUGGGUUUAGAACGUCGUGAGACAGUUCGGUCCCUAUCUGCCGUGGGCGCUGGAGAAUUGAGGGGGGCUGCUCCCAGUACGAGAGGACCGGAGUGGACGCAUCACUGGUGUUCGGGUUGUCAUGCCAAUGGCACUGCCCGGUAGCUAAAUGCGGAAGAGAUAAGUGCUGAAAGCAUCUAAGCACGAAACUUGCCCCGAGAUGAGUUCUCCCUGACUCCUUGAGAGUCCUGAAGGAACGUUGAAGACGACGACGUUGAUAGGCCGGGUGUGUAAGCGCAGCGAUGCGUUGAGCUAACCGGUACUAAUGAACCGUGAGGCUUAACCUU
RNAcentral lists this ribosomal RNA (2901 nucleotides) under Cronobacter sakazakii. RNAcentral describes it as "bacterial LSU rRNA". It matches the Rfam family "Bacterial large subunit ribosomal RNA". The record is from RNAcentral. Lineage: Bacteria; Pseudomonadati; Pseudomonadota; Gammaproteobacteria; Enterobacterales; Enterobacteriaceae.